UUUCCCUCAGGAUAGCUGGCACUCGUUUUAACGAGUCUCAUCUGGUAAAGCGAAUGAUUAGAGGCCUUGGGGCCGAAACGACCUCAACCUAUUCUCAAACUUUAAAUGGGUGAGAUCUCUGGCUUGCUUGAAUUGUGAAGCCACGAGAUAGUUGAAAGGAUCAGAGUGCCAAGUGGGCCAAUUUUGGUAAGCAGAACUGGCGCUGUGGGA
Molecule: ribosomal RNA, 210 nt
Filed under: Erythmelus rosascostai
Lineage: Eukaryota; Metazoa; Arthropoda; Insecta; Hymenoptera; Mymaridae
Description: partial 28S ribosomal RNA
Rfam family: Eukaryotic large subunit ribosomal RNA
Source: RNAcentral